This 254-nucleotide ribosomal RNA is filed under the name uncultured bacterium. RNAcentral's name for it is "partial 16S ribosomal RNA". It matches the Rfam family "Bacterial small subunit ribosomal RNA", at positions 524 to 776 of the family's 1533-position model. The record is from RNAcentral.
UACGAAGGGGGCUAGCGUUGCUCGGAAUCACUGGGCGUAAAGCGCACGUAGGCGGACUCUUAAGUCGGUGGUGAAAUCCUGGAGCUCAACUCCAGAACUGCCUUCGAUACUGGGAGUCUUAGAGUCCGGGAGAGGUGAGUGGAACUGCGAGUGUAGAGGUGAAAUUCGUAGAUAUUCGCAAGAACACCAGUGGCGAAGGCGGCUCACUGGCCCGGUACUGACGCUGAGGUGCGAAAGCGUGGGGAGCAAACAGG